GGCCUUAUAUUCAUUUGUAUGAUAAUAGAAUGCAAUUCUAUAGGAGUAAAUUUAUUACUAAGGCUU
This 66-nucleotide transfer RNA is filed under the name Validiblatta fuliginosa (smokybrown cockroach). Its description in RNAcentral is "Periplaneta fuliginosa (smokybrown cockroach) tRNA-Cys". The record is from RNAcentral. Lineage: Eukaryota; Metazoa; Arthropoda; Insecta; Blattodea; Blattidae.